CUACUGAUGAAGAGUCCCAAACUAGGACGAAACAGCUGUUUAGUAC
Molecule: non-coding RNA, 46 nt
Organism: Trichobilharzia regenti
Lineage: Eukaryota; Metazoa; Platyhelminthes; Trematoda; Strigeidida; Schistosomatidae
Source: Rfam